Molecule: long non-coding RNA, 726 nt
Organism: Spinacia oleracea (spinach)
Lineage: Eukaryota; Viridiplantae; Streptophyta; Magnoliopsida; Caryophyllales; Amaranthaceae
Exons: 4
Source: RefSeq, a predicted model, not a curated record
GUUGUUGCCUUAUGGGCCUCUAAACUUAGUAAAUUGUUUCAAUAAAUCCCUAAUACGAUUUUUUUUUCCCGUUCGAUCAGUAUUCAGUUUUCUCCCAAAACCCUUAACACUUUCUCCUCGUUCAUCCUCGUCGUUCUUUCAAGCAAGCGAAAUGACCAUUUGGUCUCUGAAUUGGAAGUAAGAAAAAUUGCGAUUGGCGUCUUGAAUUGGCGACAAGAACGGUUAUUUGAUCUAGCCAAUCCAAUAUCUGAAUUAGCAAGAUUGAAGUAGUCUCUUGUGUGAGGCAGAACGAGAAUCAGAAGACUCAUAAAUCACCUCAUGAAGACUGACUCAGAAAUCUCGAGAAGGUUCAAGGUUCAAGGAAGGGUUGUAUUGCUUGUGAACAGGGUAAUUGAAGACGGUAAGCUAACUACAACAACAAGUGUGCUCAACAACAUUGCCGUUAUUUUUCUUGAAGCCUGAAGGUGGAUGCAAAUAUGAAGAAGAGUUACAUGUAGCCUGUGGUGUCGUCAGUUAAAGCUAUUUUAGACCGACUUGGGUUGACAUUGGAAUUUUGUGGUUUGGUAUUGGCCAGUUAUAGUUUGGUUUGCUAGCUUAGUUUUUUGUACUUUUUGGGCUUGCAGGUUGUUGCAAGGCCUAGGGUGUUUUAUUUGGUUGAGCUUGUACCAAAAAAUAAGCUUAUAGGUGACCGUUCUUGAAAAAUGUAAUAAAUAAUACGUUAGAUUA